AGAGUUUGAUCAUGGCUCAGGAUGAACGCUAGCUACAGGCUUAACACAUGCAAGUCGAGGGGAAACGACAUCGAAAGCUUGCUUUUGAUGGGCGUCGACCGGCGCACGGGUGAGUAACGCGUAUCCAACCUGCCCAUCACUUGGGGAUAACCUUGCGAAAGUAAGACUAAUACCCAAUGACGUCUCUAGAAGACAUCUGAAAGAGAUUAAAGAUUUAUCGGUGAUGGAUGGGGAUGCGUCUGAUUAGCUUGUUGGGCGGGGUAACGGCCACCAAGGCGACGAUCAGUAGGGGUUCUGAGAGGAACGGUCCCCCANAGUUGGAACUGAGACACGGUCCAAACUCCUACGGGAGCA
RNAcentral lists this ribosomal RNA (354 nucleotides) under uncultured bacterium. Its description in RNAcentral is "bacterial SSU rRNA". It matches the Rfam family "Bacterial small subunit ribosomal RNA", at positions 8 to 349 of the family's 1533-position model. The record is from RNAcentral.